UAGAUGCGAGAGUAGAGCAUAUCAAUAAGCGGAGGAAAAGAAACUAACAAGGAUUCCCUUAGUAACGGCGAGUGAAGCGGGAAGAGCUCAAAUUUGAAAUCUUCAAGGUUCUACCUUGACGAAUUGUAGUUUAAAGAAGUGUUUUCUGUUAGAUGAGUAGCAAAAGUUCCUUGGAAUAGGGACAUCAUAGAGGGUGAGAAUCCCGUAUUUGGUUAUUCAUUCUAGCUUUGUGAUACACUUUCAAAGAGUCGGAUUGUUUGGGAAUGCAGUCCAAGAUGGGUGGUAAAUUUCAUCUAAAGCUAAAUAUUGGCGAGAGACCGAUAGCGAACAAGUACCGUGAGGGAAAGAUGAAAAGAACUUUGAAAAGAGAGUUAAACAGUACGUGAAAUUGUCAAAAGGGAAGCGUUUGACACCAGUGUUGUUUUUCCGAAAAUCAAUUACGAAUGGCUUGAUUUUGUGUUGUAUUGACCUUAUCAGCUUUCUGCACUUUUUUCGAGUCUUUCUUAAUGCACUUUUCGGUUAACAAGUCAACAUCAAUUUCUUUUGUUGUAAAAGAGUAUUCGGAAGGUGGCUUUCUUUUCGGAGAAAGUGUUUAUAGCCCUAUACUUCUACAAUCGGAGAGAUUGAGGUCUGCAGCGUAGAUCCUUCGGGGUUAGAUACAUUUGUGCUAAGUUGUAGCUUUUCAUAGACAACUUGUUGACUAUGUUUAGUCAUGCGGCUUACUCGCUUAUGCUAUUUUACCUACGCUUAGGAUGUUGAGCGCAUGUCUCUCCU
This 774-nucleotide ribosomal RNA is filed under the name uncultured Neocallimastigales. Its description in RNAcentral is "partial large subunit ribosomal RNA". It matches the Rfam family "Eukaryotic large subunit ribosomal RNA", at positions 22 to 643 of the family's 3401-position model. Lineage: Eukaryota; Fungi; Neocallimastigomycota; Neocallimastigomycetes; Neocallimastigales. The record is from RNAcentral.